This 686-nucleotide ribosomal RNA is filed under the name Priestia megaterium. Its description in RNAcentral is "bacterial SSU rRNA". It matches the Rfam family "Bacterial small subunit ribosomal RNA", at positions 82 to 755 of the family's 1533-position model. The record is from RNAcentral. Lineage: Bacteria; Bacillati; Bacillota; Bacilli; Caryophanales; Bacillaceae.
UUCUAUGACGUUAGCGGCGGACGGGUGAGUAACACGUGGGCAACCUGCCSUGUAAGACUGGGAUACUUCGGGAACCGAAGCUAAUACCGGAUAGGAUCUUCUCCUUCAUGGGAGAUGAUUGAAAGAUGGUUUCGGCUAUCACUUACAGAUGGGCCCGCGGUGCAUUAGCUAGUUGGUGAGGUAACGGCUCACCAAGGCAACGAUGCAUAGCCGACCUGAGAGGGUGAUCGGCCACACUGGGACUGAGACACGGCCCAGACUCCUACGGGAGGCAGCAGUAGGGAAUCUUCCGCAAUGGACGAAAGUCUGACGGAGCAACGCCGCGUGAGUGAUGAAGGCUUUCGGGUCGUAAAACUCUGUUGUUAGGGAAGAACAAGUACGAGAGUAACUGCUCGUACCUUGACGGUACCUAACCAGAAAGCCACGGCUAACUACGUGCCAGCAGCCGCGGUAAUACGUAGGUGGCAAGCGUUAUCCGGAAUUAUUGGGCGUAAAGCGCGCGCAGGCGGUUUCUUAAGUCUGAUGUGAAAGCCCACGGCUCAACCGUGGAGGGUCAUUGGAAACUGGGGAACUUGAGUGCAGAAGAGAAAAGCGGAAUUCCACGUGUAGCGGUGAAAUGCGUAGAGAUGUGGAGGAACACCAGUGGCGAAGGCGGCUUUUUGGUCUGUAACUGACGCUGAGGCGCG